Molecule: ribosomal RNA, 253 nt
Filed under: uncultured bacterium
Lineage: Bacteria
Description: partial 16S ribosomal RNA
Rfam family: Bacterial small subunit ribosomal RNA
Source: RNAcentral
UACGGAGGGUGCGAGCGUUGUCCGGAAUCACUGGGCGUAAAGGGCGCGUAGGCGGUCUGCUAAGCGUGCGGUGAAAGCCUGGGGCUCAACCCCAGGUCUGCCGUGCGAACUGGUGGACUAGAGCACUGUAGAGGAAAGUGGAAUUCCCGGUGUAGUGGUGAUAUGCGUAGAUAUCGGGAGGAACACCUGUGGCGAAGGCGGCUUUCUGGGCCCUACCUGACGCUGAGACGCGAAAGCGUGGGGAGCGAACCGG